RNAcentral lists this ribosomal RNA (385 nucleotides) under uncultured bacterium. Its description in RNAcentral is "bacterial SSU rRNA". It matches the Rfam family "Bacterial small subunit ribosomal RNA", at positions 29 to 415 of the family's 1533-position model. The record is from RNAcentral.
AUUGAACGCUGGCGGCAUGCUUUACACAUGCAAGUCGAACGGCAGCGGGGGCUUCGGCCCGCCGGCGAGUGGCGAACGGGUGAGUAAUGCAUCGGAACGUGCCCAGUCGUGGGGGAUAACACAUCGAAAGAUGUGCUAAUACCGCAUACGUCCUGAGGGAGAAAGCGGGGGAUCUUCGGACCUCGCGCGAUUGGAGCGGCCGAUGUCGGAUUAGCUAGUUGGUGGGGUAAAAGCCCACCAAGGCGACGAUCCGUAGCGGGUCUGAGAGGAUGAUCAGCCACACUGGGACUGAGACACGGCCCAGACUCCUACGGGAGGCAGCAGUGGGGAAUUUUGGACAAUGGGCGCAAGCCUGAUCCAGCCAUGCCGCGUGAGUGAAGAAGGC